Molecule: ribosomal RNA, 356 nt
Filed under: uncultured cyanobacterium
Lineage: Bacteria; Bacillati; Cyanobacteriota
Description: bacterial SSU rRNA
Rfam family: Bacterial small subunit ribosomal RNA
Source: RNAcentral
GUAAACCUCUUUUCUCAGGGAAUAAGAACUGAAGGUACCUGAGGAAUCAGCAUCGGCUAACUCCGUGCCAGCAGCCGCGGUAAUACGGAGGAUGCAAGCGUUAUCCGGAAUGAUUGGGCGUAAAGCGUCCGCAGGUGGUUUAUCAAGUCUGCUGUCAAAGAGUUUGGCUCAACCAAAUAAAGGCAGUGGAAACUGACAGACUGGAGUGCGGUAAGGGCAGAGGGAAUUCCUGGUGUAGCGGUGAAAUGCGUAGAGAUCAGGAAGAACACCGGUGGCGAAAGCGCUCUGCUGGGCCGUAACUGACACUGAGGGACGAAAGCUANGGGAGCGAAUGGGAUUAGAUACCCCAGUAGUCA